This is a long non-coding RNA of Aegilops tauschii subsp. strangulata, 5524 nucleotides long. RefSeq lists it as uncharacterized. The record is from RefSeq and is a predicted model, not a curated record. NCBI's taxonomy places the organism in Eukaryota, Viridiplantae, Streptophyta, Magnoliopsida, Poales, Poaceae.
UACCAGUUUCAAAGCUCUGAGAAGGACCAUUUUGUUUGAAAGCUAACAUUAGCACUUAGAGCCCAGUUCAAUGUUGUAUCGUCACGGCAAACAAGUACUUUUUUUUGCUCUUUUGACAUCGAGAUGUUUUAGAAGAUAUAUGUGACCGCACCUAAACUCUGAGAAUUGUACACUAUAACAAUAAAAGAGAAAGCACCUUGUUUUAGAAGCUAUAUGUAUUUACUUAGGAUGUCAAUAUAAAGGAAAUAAUUUCUAAUGCUGCCGACAAGAUAACAUGAUCUGGUAUCCGUAAUAGCAGCCCAUACAUAUCACCACUUGAUUGAAAAAUGGAAUUUUUACGUUUUUUUUUGGCUAAACUGUCCUGUUCCUAAUUAGUUCUAAUAUCUAUUUUCUGCCUGGUGCUGGCCGAUCAAUUUCAUGUGGGAGUUUCUGUAAUUUUUUUCCUACACUGAUUUCAGUUGGAGAUAACUCUUUUGAUAUUGCACACAAUAUUUCAAAUUCAUUCAUACUUUUUAGAGUGUUAUAUAUGUUCACAUGUAUCAAGUACAGAUCAUGCUCAGAACUUCAGUCCCGGCAAUUUAAUUUCAUCCUGGACAUGUUUUUCACGAUACGGAUCAGUAUAAGUAGAUCUGUCUUCAGCCAUUGCUGCUGGUGCUAAUUAACUUAUUCUCCUGCAACACUUGGAUUUGUUAUAUACUUUUCUAAACUUUAUUCAAGAGAUAUGCAUUGGGUUCAUUUAAUUUCUUGUUAACAAGCAAAUAAGCAGGAGUCUUGCAAGUUAUAUCCUUUGACACAUUAUUCUGCUUUGAAACCUAUAAGACUGUUGUUGAUUGCUUUGGUGUUUACAGCCUCUUCUCUGGUUAUAUUCUGUUGCUUAAAUGCGUCUUUUGGAGAUAAAUGUAGGAUUGUUGGCGCUACAUAAUUAAGGGGUGUAAUUUGCCAGGGUUGCUGUUUGCAUUCAGUAAAAAAAACAUGGAGACAGUAUUUUCUGAAUUCUACAUUUAGCAAUUAAAUCUCCAUUUAAACAGAAGAAAGCUAGGCUUGGCUCGAAUCACGUUGCAUCCAAGCUUUAAAAAUUGUCAAGGGUUAGUCCAUCUUUCCUUCGCUUCGGCUUGUUUUAUUCAUUGUGAGCACAGUUGGUUUAAUUUUUUUUCUGGAGGGUCUUUACUUCGUUGGUUGAUUAAGAGAGCUAGUCUUAACAGAAUUCUGUCAAGUGACUUAUCAAGUACUAAUAACUAAAGCUUGACAAGUUUGGGUAGCAAGAGAUUCACAAUAUAAUCUUCCAUGUUUUGCAGGUAUGCCCGACACGGUACUUAUCUAGCAUGUCAUUCUUGAAGCAGUGGAUCAACAUGAACCCCUCCAUGUCAUUGUUAUCACCGAGGUGCCAGCAGCAACGAUCUCCAACAACUAGGUGAUUGGUUUUUCAACUGUGAGCUUGUGAAAUAGCAACAUGUGUAGUGUGGUUUUCUAAGGACGACUGGAAGACAUUUCUAUUACUGAUCUCUACACAGAUAUCUCUUAUCAGCAAGUGGCACAUGUCUGCUUUAACUUUCUAGCCUCUUUCGCCAGUUAUGAUUGCAUCGACCAAAUAUUGUCCAAUUCCCAUUCCAUCCCAACCUUUGAUCCCCUGUUCAUCCCUUUGCUGAUUCCUCAUGAUGGCACGAGAGAGCGUGGCCUAUGGGUCAGUCGCACCAGAUGCUGAUGACGGUGCCAUAGCUAGUCGACCGGUUGCAUCUUGUGAUCCCGGUGGUCUAUUGGUAGUUCCUGGUGUCUGCUAUGCCUAUGCCUAUGCGUAUCAAAUUCAUAUCCCUACUGGGCAGAGACACAACAAAUAAUGCAUAAAAUGGAACUGCAUAAUUCCAAGGUAGACUAGUAAAAUGAGAAAUAUGCUACUCAUCCUUUGCCUACUUCUUGCUUCUUAUAAAGACUUGGGUAGUAGGCAGUGACAUGAAGUCUUUUGUCAUCUGGUAGGUCAAUAUAUAAGAAUCCAUCAGUUAUGGGCUUGGUCCUCUGGUAGGUUAGCGGCUACAACAGCUUUAUCAUUCCCUCGAACAAGAUGAUUUUGCUCAUGUCGUUGUUUGCGUCUAAUCAAAGAAAACUGAAGGGGACAACAUCUUCUCAAUUGUACAUUUAGCCCUUUUCACAUGACUCGUUUACAUGCUCUGGGCUUUUGGCACAUUAUCUCUCCUGCAAAAGAAUUAAGCUUAGCUUAAUCUAUUUGCUUUCAAGCUUUAGAUAUCAAUUUUAGACCAAUUUAUUUUUCCUAAUAUGCUUCAACUUGUUGUAUUCAUUCUGAGCAUAGUUGGUUUAUUUUUUUAUAGGUUUGUCCUUUGUCAGUUUAUAAGCGAGCUAGUCUAAUAGAAGGCUGUAAAGAGAGCUUACAAAGUUCAUAAGUAUAUAUGUCCUGAGCUAUUGCUGCUGAUUCUAAUAAACUUAAUUUGUAUCUACUUCUCCAAACUAUAUUCAAGCCAUUGGAUUCACUUAUUUAUUUGCCAAUAACUGAAUAAGCAGUAGAGUUUUCUAACUGCAAUUUACAUUCUUUGCUGCAAAAUCUAAACAGGUUUAGGGCAAUGUUAUUGCUUCUGCAUUCUACUAGUCAUUUUGAUUGCAACCUAGAAUAUUAGACUGUUGAUUGCUUUGGUACUUAGUCUCGUAUUAUGACCGGGUUAUGCCCAGUUGCUUGAAUGUGUCUUUUGGAGAUAAAAUGCCAGAUCAUUCAGCACUGAUGGCUUGCAUAAUUAAGAAGGUUAUGGAGCUGUAAUUUACCUUGUUGUUUGCAUUGAUUCAAAGAAAAAUUUGAGGCAGUAUCUUCUCAAUUUAAGCCCCUUCUCACCUGAUUCAUUUACAUGUUCUAGCAGACAUGACAAUCUCAUGCGAGAGAACUAGGCUUAGCUCGGAUCAGUUUGCAUCCAAGCUUUAGAUUAUAUAUAUAAAGGUUAGACCAUCUUUCGGUUCCAUUCAACUUGAUAUGAGUAUAGUUGGUUUAAUUUUUGAAUCGUCUAUCCUUCGUUAGUUUAUUAAGAGAGCUAGACUGAUAGAAGUAUGUAAAGAGUUUACCAAGGUCCAGUGGGCCAUUCUCGAAGUGGGUGCAACCAAUGGUGCUCUACUCAUCCCGCCAAGCUGUGUGCAUGAUUUCACUUGGUAAUGCAGUUUCAAUGGAUCAAUAGGACCAUCAUUGUACUGACUCUGACCGUGGCAAUGCUGAUCACCAGCAGUAAGGCCUACUAUCUGCAACGACGAGCUAGGUUUUCUCUCGUCUAGUGUGGAUGCUAAGGACGACAUUUCUGAUAUUUAUGCAUGAUAUCCCAAGCCAUUUUGGUAGUGGAAUUCCAAGCCAUUGUGAUCGUCUGUCUUACAAGCCAGGCUAAAAGCAAACAAAUACUUGCUGUAUGUCUAUCUGGUCAGCCUUGGGUCAGGUCAGUUAGGGAUGCAGAUGAUCUCUACUAGAUGCAUCAUUGGCAUCAUCCUCCGGUUCACGUUCCAGAUGGGCAAGAAAGAGCAUUCCAGCCAAGAAAGAAAGUGUCAGAGCAGUAAAGAUCGAGGGAGAGUACAGAGUAGCUAGAUCCAAAACCCCCAGGAACAGUAACGUUCGUGUAUGUGCUAACUUAGCACACAGUCAGGCAGCUGGAUUGAUCCUUGCGCCUCUACACGUGAAGCUAUCUUCGCUUGGUCAUCAUACAGCUACCGUGCCUUGUUGAUCGUAGCAUGUACGUAUACUGCUGGUGUAGAUCGAUCUACAGGGGCUUGUCGCUCCUGGCUUUUUUGCUUAACUCUAACAGGCACAACGGCUGGCUGAACCCAAGAGUGCACGUUGGGAUUCCACAGUUGCACCCAUAAUUCCUAGUGCCUUCCAUGCCCAUUCCUAAUCAUAUACCUAGUGUGUAGAAACAAAAGCACCAUAUAGUCAUUAGAGACUUACGGUUGCCCUGCUAGAUAUUUCGAAGAUGGAGAAGUAAACAAAUGGGAAAUAAGUUAUCCCCCUUUUGCUUAGGGGUGGCCGGCUUCUUAUAGAAAGACUUGGUGCUAGACAGUGACAUGUAGUCAUUAGUCCUUCGGUAGGUCCAUAGCUAAGAAUCCCUUGAUCAUGUGCUUGGUCCUUGGGUAGGUCAGUGAAUAUGAAACCUUUAUUAAUUAUGUAACCAAAAUACUGAAUUAUAGUGAAUACAGAUAUUGAAAUGAAUAACUACAGUACUUGGAGACAAGAAGUCUUAUGAGAGAAAAUAUAUCUCAUACAUCACCGAGGCUAUAAGAGCCACCUUAUGUUGCUCUUCCAAAAGAAUGAAACUUUGCAAAAUUCUCAUAUUCGCCUCUUUACUACAACGGAGAUUUGCCACAAUAACAUAGCCUUAACCUCUAUUAAGAAUUAACUACUUCUCAUAACAAAGGCAGAAAUUCACUCUGCUCAGAACUUUGUCCGAAGAGCAACACACUCUUAUCAGUCUAAUUUAUAGUUUUUUUUUUGCCUUCUGAGCUGAAUUGUUGUUUAAUACCACCUUCAAAGCUUUGACAAGGACCCUUCUGUCUAAAUGCUAACAUUAGCACUUAGAGCCCAGUUCAAUGUUGUAUCGUCAGUGCAAAAAGUGUUUUUUUCUCUCUUUUGUCAUAGGUAUGUUUAGUAGAACCUAUAUGUGACGUCACCUAAGCACCGAGAAUUGCACACUAAGAAUGAACCUCAUGAACGCUGCUCUUUUACCUAGGUCGUCAAUAUAAAGGAAAUGCCUUAAGUGCAUCCUUCUGUAGGAUGCAUGACACUACAUACGUAAUUGGGAAUGAGAAAAAUGUAUCAUCUUUUCUCUUUGAUAAUUAGGAUUAUCUACCCUUUUUAGAUCCAUAUCUUUGGUAAUCGGCAUUGUGGUUCCAAUCUCCGCAUCUCAGUAAUUAUUAUGCAAGGUGCUUUCUGAUGUUGUUUUUGAGCUAACAUGAUUUUGGAAUCCGUAAUAUUUGAUUGUUGAUUCUUUGGUGCUAAUGAGCUUUUCUCCUCAUUUGGUCACAGUCAAUUGUUUAAAUGUGUCUCCAGGAGGGAAAAUGUAGGACUGAUGGCUUUGCAUAAUCCAGAAGGUUAUUGAGGGGUUUAAUUUGUCAAUGUUGUUGUUUGCAUCCAGUCAAAGUAAAACAUCGAGACAAUAUGUUCUUAAUUCUACAUUUAGUAAUUAAAUCUCUGGUUAUCCCUUUUCACCUCAUUCACUUAUACGUGUACUUUUGCAGCUGAUCCUUAUUGGUGCAGGUUUUAGGAGAUGGUCUCCUGGACUUAUGGAAGAAAACUAGGCUUAGCUCAAAUCAGUUUGCAUGCAAGCUUUCAAUCUUGUGAAGGCUGGACCAUCUUUAGUAAUUAAGUUCAACUUGUAAUAUUCAUUGUGAGCAUAGUUAAUUUUCUUUCUGAAGGAUCUUUACUUUUUCGGUUGAUUAAGAGAGCUAGUCUAACCGAACUAAGUCAUGAUUUCGCAAAAAGAAAAAGAACUAAGUCAUGGGGCCUUACAAAGUACAUAACGCUGAAGUUUAAAUUUUUUGGUUAGUCCGUAUUCUA